UGGGGAAUAUUGCACAAUGGAGGGAACUCUGAUGCAGCAACGCCGCGUGCGGGAUGACGGCCUUCGGGUUGUAAACCGCUUUCAGCCAUGACGAAGCUUUUGUGACGGUAGUGGUAGAAGAAGCACCGGCUAACUACGUGCCAGCAGCCGCGGUGAUACGUAGGGUGCGAGCGUUGUCCGGAAUUAUUGGGCGUAAAGAGCUUGUAGGCGGUUUUUCGCGUCGAUAGUGUAAACACGCAGCUUAACUGUGUGCCUGCUGUCGAUACGGGCUGACUAGAGGAGGGUAGGGGAGAAUGGAAUUCCCGGUGGAGCGGUGGAAUGCGCAGAUAUCGGGAGGAACACCAGUGGCGAAGGCGGUUCUCUGGACCUUUCCUGACGCUGAGAAGCGAAAGCGUGGGUAGCAAACAGG
This 409-nucleotide ribosomal RNA is filed under the name Fusobacteriota bacterium. Its description in RNAcentral is "Fusobacteria bacterium partial 16S ribosomal RNA". It matches the Rfam family "Bacterial small subunit ribosomal RNA", at positions 355 to 776 of the family's 1533-position model. The record is from RNAcentral. Lineage: Bacteria; Fusobacteriati; Fusobacteriota.